UGCCGUGAGGUGUCGGCUUAAGUGCCAUAACGAGCGCAACCCCCACCGACAGUUGCUAACUGGUCAAGCAGAGGACUCUGUCGGGACUGCCGGCGCAAGCUGCGAGGAAGGCGGGGAUGACGUCAAAUCAGCACGGCCCUUACGUCCGGGGCGACACACGUGUUACAAUGGCAGGUACAGCGGGAUGCCAUGGGGCGACCCAGAGCGGAACCCGAAAACCUGUCUCAGUUCGGAUUGGAGUCUGCAACCCGACUCCAUGAAGCUGGAUUCGCUAGUAAUCGCGCAUCAGCCACGGCGCGGUGAAUACGUUCCCGGGCCUUGUACACACCGCCCGUCAAGCCAUGGGAGCCGGGGGUGCCUGAAGGCCGUGACCGCGAGGAGCGGCCUAGGGUAAAACUGGUGACUGGGGCUAAGUCGUAACAAGGUAACCGUAA
This 434-nucleotide ribosomal RNA is filed under the name Paramuribaculum intestinale. Its description in RNAcentral is "bacterial SSU rRNA". It matches the Rfam family "Bacterial small subunit ribosomal RNA", at positions 1063 to 1505 of the family's 1533-position model. The record is from RNAcentral. Lineage: Bacteria; Pseudomonadati; Bacteroidota; Bacteroidia; Bacteroidales; Muribaculaceae.